RNAcentral lists this ribosomal RNA (459 nucleotides) under uncultured bacterium. RNAcentral's name for it is "partial 16S ribosomal RNA". It matches the Rfam family "Bacterial small subunit ribosomal RNA", at positions 338 to 795 of the family's 1533-position model. The record is from RNAcentral.
CCUACGGGAGGCUGCAGUGAGGAAUAUUGGUCAAUGGUCGGGAGACUGAACCAGCCAAGCCGCGUGAGGGAGGAAGGUACAGAGUAUCGUAAACCUCUUUUGUCAGGGAACAAAGGCGGGGACGUGUCCCCGGUUGAGUGUACCUGAUGAAAAAGCAUCGGCUAAAUCCGUGCCAGCAGCCGCGGUAAUACGGAGGAUGCGAGCGUUAUCCGGAUUUCUUGGGUUUAAAGGGUGCGCGGGCGGUGUGUUAAGUGUGCGGGAAAAGCCCGGGGUGCAACCCCGGCCCGCCGUUGAAACUGGCAGUCUCGAGUUGGAGAGAAGUAUGCGGAAUGCGCGGUGUAGCGGUGAAAUGCAUAGAUAUCGCGAAGAACUCCGAUUGCGAAGGCAGCAUGCCGGCUCCACACUGACGCUGAGGCACGAAAGCGUGGGUAUCGAACAGGAUUAGAUACCCCAGUAGUC